This 967-nucleotide ribosomal RNA is filed under the name human gut metagenome. RNAcentral's name for it is "bacterial SSU rRNA". It matches the Rfam family "Bacterial small subunit ribosomal RNA", at positions 29 to 1002 of the family's 1533-position model. The record is from RNAcentral.
AUGAACGCUGGCGGCGUGCUUAACACAUGCAAGUCGAACGGGAUCCCAGGAGCUUGCUCCUGGGUGAGAGUGGCGAACGGGUGAGUAAUGCGUGACCGACCUGCCCCAUACACCGGAAUAGCUCCUGGAAACGGGUGGUAAUGCCGGAUGCUCCAGUUGGAUGCAUGUCCUUCUGGGAAAGAUUCAUCGGUAUGGGAUGGGGUCGCGUCCUAUCAGGUAGUCGGCGGGGUAACGGCCCACCGAGCCUACGACGGGUAGCCGGCCUGAGAGGGCGACCGGCCACAUUGGGACUGAGAUACGGCCCAGACUCCUACGGGAGGCAGCAGUGGGGAAUAUUGCACAAUGGGCGCAAGCCUGAUGCAGCGACGCCGCGUGCGGGAUGACGGCCUUCGGGUUGUAAACCGCUUUUGACUGGGAGCAAGCCCUUCGGGGUGAGUGUACCUUUCGAAUAAGCACCGGCUAACUACGUGCCAGCAGCCGCGGUAAUACGUAGGGUGCAAGCGUUAUCCGGAAUUAUUGGGCGUAAAGGGCUCGUAGGCGGUUCGUCGCGUCCGGUGUGAAAGUCCAUCGCUUAACGGUGGAUCCGCGCCGGGUACGGGCGGGCUUGAGUGCGGUAGGGGAGACUGGAAUUCCCGGUGUAACGGUGGAAUGUGUAGAUAUCGGGAAGAACACCAAUGGCGAAGGCAGGUCUCUGGGCCGUCACUGACGCUGAGGAGCGAAAGCGUGGGGAGCGAACAGGAUUAGAUACCCUGGUAGUCCACGCCGUAAACGGUGGAUGCUGGAUGUGGGGACCAUUCCACGGUCUCCGUGUCGGAGCCAACGCGUUAAGCAUCCCGCCUGGGGAGUACGGCCGCAAGGCUAAAACUCAAAGAAAUUGACGGGGGCCCGCACAAGCGGCGGAGCAUGCGGAUUAAUUCGAUGCAACGCGAAGAACCUUACCUGGGCUUGACAUGUUCCCGACAGCCGU